UGUGACUGUUCCCAGCAGGGCAAAUCUUGUAAUUAUCUCCUCCUUUUUUAGGUUAGACUUGCCCCUACUUGUUUGCCAGUUUAUCAGCAUUGUUUCAGGUCUGGUCCCUGCACUAUCCUCCGUGAGCCAUAGCUUGCUGCUUUCAUGUGUUACUCUGAGUCUUCCAGAGUUUGUUGCUUUCCUGUGUUACCCUCAGUGUUCCAGUUUAAGCUGCUUUCCUGAGUUACCCUCGGUGUUCCAGAUCAAGCUGUUUUCCUGUGUUACCUUCAGUGUUCCAUAGCAUGCUGCUUUCCUGAGUUGCCUUUUGUGUUCCGGAUCAAGCUGUUUUCCUGAGUUACCCUUGGUGUUCCGGAUCAAGCUACUUUCCUAAGUUACCCUUGUUGUUCCAGAUCAAGCUGCUUUCCUAAGUUACUCUUGGUGUUCCAGAUCAAGCUGUUUUCCUGAGUUACCCUUGGUGUUUUGGAUCAAGCUACUUUCCUAAGUUACCCUCGGUGUUCCAGAUCAAGCUGCUUUUCUGAGUUACCCUCAGUGUUCCAGAUCAAGCUGCUUUCCUGAGUUACCCUCGGUGUUCCGGAUCAAGCUGCUUUCCUGAGUUACCCUCGGUGUUCCGGAUCAAGCUACUUUCCUAAGUUACCCUCGGUGUCCGGAUCAAGCUGCUUUCCCGUGUUACCUGCAGUGUUCCAUAUCAAGCUGCUUUCCUGAGUUACCCUCUGUGUUCCAGAUCAAGCUACUUUCCUAAGUUACCCUCAUUCCAGAUCAAGCUGCUUUCCUAAGUUACUCUCGGUAUUCCAGAUCAAGCUGCUUUUUCUGAGUUACCCUCGGUGUUCCAGAUCAAGCUGCUCUCCUGAGUAUUUCAGAGCAAGCCAAUUCCCUGUGCAAACCCCCAGUGUUCCAGAGCAACCUGCUUUCUUGUGCAAACCCUCAGUGUGGCAAAGCAAGCCGAUUUACUGUACAAUCCACCAGUGUUCUAGAGCAAGCUGCUUUCUUGUGCAAACCCACAUAGUUCCAGAGCGAACUGCUUUCCUGUGAAAACCCUUAGUGUUCCACAGACACUGCACCCGUCCUUAUAUUGAGUUAUCUGUUUUGCAUUUGUUAUUCUUUCGUUUUUCU
Molecule: non-coding RNA, 1110 nt
Organism: Pelobates cultripes (western spadefoot toad)
Lineage: Eukaryota; Metazoa; Chordata; Amphibia; Anura; Pelobatidae
Source: the annotation of a GenBank genome assembly